ACCAGCUCUCCUGCUCCUUCCACCUCAGGGCCCUCUUAGGGUUGCCUCUUACAUUCUUUCCAGGGCUUAGCAGACAGGAACAGGGAGGGUCGGGUUUAGGCCAUCUUACCCAGACCGGAAGUCUCUAAGUGUUUGAUUGAGUGUUUGUUUGAAGAAAGUGAUGAACCCAGGACCUCGAGCCAGGAAGAUUUUUCCCGGUGAAAAGCAGAGGGAUUGACUCACGCUCGGUUCUGAGUUCCAGGCCUGACUCCAGGGCUCACCAGCUUCUUCCACAACCCGCACAACUUGAACGCUUGGUAGCAUCUCCACGCAGCAGUGGGCACCCUGGCUUCUGGAGGAGCCCAGGCUGCAUUUACCCCUCCAUGGUGCAUCUCAUAGGAUCAACUGGACCCGCGAAAGGCACUGGCUGCGGAAAAGCAGCCAACUGCUCCCCAGCGAAGGGGAUGGCCGGAAGCGAGGAGAGGGAGAAGCCCCAGCAGAGACCCCAGGAGGAAAAGACCCCACAACGGGGCCACUGGGAACCCAUGAUGUUGGUUACCAAUGUGAUUGGAGGUUCGGAACGACGGACGUGUGGCCCUGAAGUGGGAAACAGAAAAGCUGAAGGGCGAGACCUGGGAGGGAGCCCCCCACCCCCGCGGACUCCAGAGACCCAACCUUCCUUCCCUGCGCUCCGGCCGGACGUUCUCCCUGCCCCUGUGGCCGAGCCUGGCACCACUCCAAACCGUCUCCUUGGAAAAGCAACUUCAGCCCCAGUGCCUGUCCCUGCUACACCCAACGUUCCUGUCUGGAAAAGAGUUGCUCUUUAUUCAGCACGUGGACCCUCAGCCUGCUGAGUGGACAGGAAACCAUCUGUCAUUUAGGGUUCCUGCUCCCAACUCCCCCCAACAGCUGUCACCACCACCGUGGUUGUGCAAAGGUCCCAGGCCUUUCAGAGUGGGCCCUGAUCACUGUCCAUCCUGGCCGGGUCUGCUGAAACAAACAUGGUCACAAUCUCGUGGUACUUUCUGCCUCGUGGCUCUGUGUCCACACUGGAGAGACUAGGACCCAAUCCUGGGGCCCCUCCCACAGGCGCCAUAUGGCUAUUCCCCUCAGAGACGCACCAGGCCAGCCCCACUGCCCUCAGGACCAACCUCCAACUUCUCCUCGGCUUGGGAUCUCCGGUUUCUCUCUUUGUCAAGGCACCCUGAUAUGGUUCGGCUCUGUUCCCACCCAAAUCUCAUCUCGAUUUGUAUCCCCACGUGUCAAGGGAGGGACCUGUAAUCCCCAUGUGUCGAGGGAGGGAGGUGAUUGGAUUAUGGGGGCGGUUCCCCCAUGCUGUUCUCAGGACGGUGAGUGAGUGAGUUCUCACGACAUCUGGUGGUUUUAUAAGUGUUUGGCAAGUUCCUUCGCUCACUCUUCUCUCUCCUGCCACCUUGUGAAGGAGGUAUUUGCUUCCCCUUCACCUUCCGCCAUGACUGUAAGUUUCCUGAGGCCUUCCCAGCCAUGCAAAACUGUGAGUCAAUUAAACCUCUUUCCCGGCCGGGCGUGAUGGCUCAUGCCUGUAAUCCCAGCACUUUGGGAGGCCGAGGCAGGUGGAUCACUUGAGGUCAGGAGUUCGAGACCAGCCUGGCCAACAUAGAAACCCCAUCUCUACUAAAAAUACAAAAAAUUAGCUGAGUGUGGUGGCGGGCGCCUGUAAUUCCAGCUACUCAGGAGGCUGAGGCAGGAGAAUCACUGGAACCCAGAAGACGGAGGUUGCGGUGAGCCAAGAUCAUGCCAUUGCACUCCAGCCUGGGCAACAAGAGGGAAACUCCAUCUCAAAAUAAAUAAAUAAAUAAAAAUAAAAA
Homo sapiens (human) is the source of this 1826-nucleotide long non-coding RNA. RefSeq annotates it as lung adenocarcinoma-associated transcript 1. NCBI's taxonomy places the organism in Eukaryota, Metazoa, Chordata, Mammalia, Primates, Hominidae. The record is from RefSeq and is marked validated. The transcript has 3 exons.